GAUCCCUCGAAGCCGCCCUGUAGGGGGAUACUUGCGGAGGCUACAUAUCGCUACGCCUAGGUAAUGGGGGCGCAGCUCUGCUUGGGCGCCGAGUCGAUAGCUAUUGUGGGUAGCUACAGGGACGAUCAGUAGCUGUCGAAAGACGAUCAGCACCUGGACUGAGACACGUCCAGACUCCUACGGAGGCAGCAGUGGGGAUUGGACAAUGGGGGCAUCCUGAUCCAGCAUGCUGCGUGUUGAAGAAGACUUCGGGUUGUAAAGCACUUUUGUCCGGGAAGAAAUCGCACUGAUAAUACCGGGUGUGGAUGACGGUACCGGAAGAAUAAGGACCGGCUAACUACGUGCAGCAGCGCGGUAAUACGUAGGGUCAAGCGUUAAUCGGAAUUACUGGGCGUAAAGCGUGCGCAGGCGGUUGUGCAAGACCGAUGUGAAAUCCCCGGGCUUAACCUGGGAAUUGCAUUGGUGACUGCACGGCUAGAGUGUGUCAGAGGGGGGUAGAAUUCCACGUGUAGCAGUGAAAUGCGUAGAGAUGUGGAGGAAUACCGAUGGCGAAGGCAGCCCCCUGGGAUAACACUGACGCUCAUGCACGAAAGCGUGGGGAGCAAACAGGAUUAGAUACCCUGGUAGUCCACGCCCUAAACGAUGUCAACUAGUUGUUGGGGAUUCAUUUCCUUAGUAACGUAGCUAACGCGUGAAGUUGACCGCCUGGGGAGUACGGUCGCAAGAUUAAAACUCAAAGGAAUUGACGGGGACCCGCACAAGCGGUGGAUGAUGUGGAUUAAUUCGAUGCAACGCGAAAAACCUUACCUACCCUUGACAUGCCACUAACGAAGCAGAGAUGCAUUAGGUGCUCGAAAGAGAAAGUGGACACAGGUGCUGCAUGGCUGUCGUCAGCUCGUGUCGUGAGAUGUUGGGUUAAGUCCCGCAACGAGCGCAACCCUUGUCUCUAGUUGCUACGAAAGGGCACUCUAGAGAGACUGCCGGUGACAAACCGGAGGAAGGUGGGGAUGACGUCAAGUCCUCAUGGCCCUUAUGGGUAGGGCUUCACACGUCAUACAAUGGUGCAUACAGAGGGUUGCCAAGCCGCGAGGUGGAGCCAAUCCCAGAAAAUGCAUCGUAGUCCGGAUCGUAGUCUGCAACUCGACUACGUGAAGCUGGAAUCGCUAGUAAUCGCGGAUCAGCAUGCGUCGAAUCCC
RNAcentral lists this ribosomal RNA (1196 nucleotides) under uncultured bacterium. Its description in RNAcentral is "bacterial SSU rRNA". It matches the Rfam family "Bacterial small subunit ribosomal RNA", at positions 64 to 1370 of the family's 1533-position model. The record is from RNAcentral.